GGGGCUUUGGAGGGUAUUAUAGGUAAUCUAACAUGGAUGAAUCUUUUGUAACUAAUUUCAGAAGUUUCUAGUAGGGGUCUUAAGGGGAGUAUCAUAUUUUGGGUGUUUAAACUUGGGUAGAAAGUCAGGAAUUGAGGGUUACCUAAGCAAAAAUGAAAAUACAAAAGGGGGGUAAGGUGUAAAUUGGAAAACCUGAAGGCUGCCCUAUGCUUAAGCUUAUAAACGCAUGCUUUAUUGCCUUGAAAGACAGCCAUCAAGAUUCUAAAAAUCUGAAGGGCAUUAGAGAUACAAAAGAAAAAAACAUAAAAAUCAGUAUUGCUACUAUUCUAUGGAGUUUAAGGCCUAAACUUUGAAAGUUUUUCCAUCUCUAAAUCAAUUUGAAUUUUCUCUUUAUGUCCAAGCUUUGAAAUGGUUUGAAAAAUGAGGUGAUGAUCUUGGAUUUGGAUGGCUCUGAUUGUUUGAAGGUGGUAUUACGUGUUGAGAUUACAUUCCUCUGGGUUUUAGGCUAUUAAGUCUACUGUUCCAUUGGAGUUUUUAAGUAAUCUCCUGGUUUUAUUCACUAAGUCUAGGCUGUGUUGGUUGCUUUUGAUUUCUACGGUUGCUAUUUGAUAUUGCAUCUGUUUGGCUGGUUGUGUUCCUUCUGUUGGCUUUCAUCUUUAUUUGAGCUUACUACUGCUGCUCACUGUUAGCUCCUGGCUCAUUUUUGUUGGUUUUGCUGUUGUAAUCAGGUACAUACUCGAGGUCAUGUCAAUACAGAUUUUACUUGCUUGAAAUGAAAUGGAAUCGAAGUUACUGCUUGAAGAUCUCAUGUCAAUACAACUUUUCCUUGCUUGAAAUGAAAUGGAAUCGAAGUUACUGCUUGAAGAUCUGUUGUUCAUUUUAUUAUGCAAAUGAAUGUUUUGUAUGAUCUAUGUAAUUUCAUAGUGUGACAGAGCAUAAACCUAGGAGUUCUAUGUGUAGCAACGAGGUUUUGGACUGUUAAACUCGACUGAUUUUAUAGCUUUCAUUAAUUCUAUGUGUAGCACUGGUUAUAACUACACCAUUUGGGGUUGUUGAAUUCUGGAUUCUAUAACUUUCAUUAAGCCUUCAUUAUGCAUUUCAAAGUAGUCGAUCUCAGUCCAAAUGGCAAGGAUUUUCAUGAGUAAACACUGUUUGGUUCAUAUGAGCAAUAGAGUACAAUAUUAUCACCAUGCUUAUUUAGUUACAAGGAUUUAUAGAAUCUGACUCUAUAAUAGUUGAAUACACUUUUGCUUGUGAAUCACGAACCAGUUAAUUUAACCUGUUGUUUGGGCCUAUUGUUUGAUGUUAGGCCCAAUAAUUGUUACCCAUUAGAACUCAGGUUUUGAGUUAGGUAGCGGGUUUUAAACUAAAAGGUUCAUCCUUUUGUUUGGACCCGGACUUGAACUUAAGGCUUGGAGUUCGAAUAUAAUUAUUAGAAUCUUU
Molecule: long non-coding RNA, 1443 nt
Filed under: Nicotiana benthamiana
Lineage: Eukaryota; Viridiplantae; Streptophyta; Magnoliopsida; Solanales; Solanaceae
Description: long non-coding RNA (NBEN_LNC027803)
Source: RNAcentral